RNAcentral lists this ribosomal RNA (253 nucleotides) under uncultured bacterium. RNAcentral's name for it is "partial 16S ribosomal RNA". It matches the Rfam family "Bacterial small subunit ribosomal RNA", at positions 524 to 776 of the family's 1533-position model. The record is from RNAcentral.
UACAGAGGUGGCAAGCGUUGUUCGGAAUUACUGGGCGUAAAGGGCGCGUAGGCGGUCCCGUAAGUUCCGCGUGAAAUCCCCCGGCUCAACCGGGGAAUGGCGCGGAAGACUGCGGGGCUUGAGUUCGGGAGAGGGAAGCGGAAUUCCGGGUGUAGCGGUGAAAUGCGUAGAUAUCCGGAGGAACACCGGUGGCGAAGGCGGCUUCCUGGACCGACACUGACGCUGAGGCGCGAAAGCUAGGGGAGCAAACGGG